CCCUGAAAGAUGAUCAGGUUGAUAGGUCUGAGGUGGAAGUGUGGCGACACAUGGAGCUGACAGAUACUAAUCGAUCGAGGACUUAACCAU
This 90-nucleotide ribosomal RNA is filed under the name Bacillus subtilis. RNAcentral describes it as "partial 23S ribosomal RNA". It matches the Rfam family "Bacterial large subunit ribosomal RNA", at positions 2835 to 2925 of the family's 2925-position model. RNAcentral also lists the same sequence under 1 other name. The record is from RNAcentral. Lineage: Bacteria; Bacillati; Bacillota; Bacilli; Caryophanales; Bacillaceae.